Long non-coding RNA from Bufo gargarizans (Asiatic toad), 394 nucleotides. RefSeq lists it as uncharacterized. The record is from RefSeq and is a predicted model, not a curated record. NCBI's taxonomy places the organism in Eukaryota, Metazoa, Chordata, Amphibia, Anura, Bufonidae. The transcript has 5 exons.
CAGAACAAACAGGAACUUACAAACGAAGACAGGAAAACAAGGGAGUGUCAUGUGACAGUCACGUGAGCGCUACUCCUCACCAUUUCUGAAGGCUGAUGUGCAAGUUGGAGAAAGUCUCAAGAAAAGGGGACACUCCGACACUGAAUCCUCUGCUGGCGAGGAAUUGCGUUUUUCUCCUGAACCAAUGGAGUCAACACAGGAGGGUACACAUUCAAUAGAAAAUCCGCGAAGUAGACGUCAUAACGACGAUGAUGACCCAAACAGUCAAAUUGAAAAUCCAUCACCUGUUCAAAAAAGAACUUCCAGGCGUGGUGGUCGCGGACAACGUGGUCGUGGCAGUCGUGGUGGACGUGUAGGCCGUCUGAAAUCAUAUCAACACGCUGGAGGUCAAUAC